ACCUGCCUCAGGCAAAUUUUUCUAAUUUUCCUGAAAACAAGCAUUUUUACCCUUUGGCCCAAAGCCAUUGCCUUUGCCAUUGGACUUGGCCCCUGCCCCACCCCCUCUCCUGAGCCACCCUUCUGUGUUUGAGAAGCUGCCCCUGGCAGAAAAGAGAAUGACCUCCUGCGUUUUAGUCAGACACUUCAUACGGGCUGGUGAAGGUUUUUUGAGGUUGCUCACGCUCCCAGCCAAGGAGUCUGUGGAAAUCCUUCAAAAAGUACAAGGCAGCCUUAUGAAUGGGGAGUGAGGAGCUUAAUGACAGACGCAAGGACCCUCAACUACAUCUGAAGGAGGAGAAAGAAUUAUGAUGACCGAAUCCUGUAGAAUUCUGCUGAGGUUUACUUUUACUUUAUGCGAGGGCUAAUUAAGCUGGAUUUAUAAAUAGGUUAUUUAUUUUUGUCUUGUAAAUAGAAUUAUAGAUUGAAUAGAGCCUCUACCUCGGCCAAGGGUCUUCAAACUCUUUUUUAAAGCAGGGGAACCUUCUGUUGAAUGGAGCUGUGUGCAGAACCACAGCAUAAAAAUGGAAGCAAAAGUUCUCUGGUCAGGUUGGAAAGGAAGGCCUGGGGUCCUGCUCAGGCCUGGAGGGCACCCAUUUCCAGCGGCCAUCUGUCCCCCUGCCCCAGUCCCUGAUGUGUUCUGUGGAACCUCAGGGUUCCAAGGGACAGAGUCUGAAAGACAUUGCUCUAAAUGAAUCUGUGCUGCAUGGAAUGUAUUUUCCAGUCGCUGCCUCCAGGAUUACUGAACAUGGAGGGGGCGCUGUGGUCUCAAAUCCCAGGUGCAUUAGCAUUUCCGUUUUCAUGUAGGUUGACACAGUGUUCCCUUGUACUAGAAAAUGCCAGUGGGUGUUAGCAAAGGCCCUUUACACGCAGAACAAUGAGCCCAGAGCGAGGCGCAAGCUUCAAAGCCGUCUCUUCACUGGAAAGGGUGACGCGGCGCAAGAUUUACCCCUGAACCUCUCUGGGAGUGUGAGCUUCAUGGGCCUCAGUAGGAGGAGACGGUGGAGAAGAAAAAGACUUUACCAGGCUGUCUGCAGACACCCUUGUCCUAGAGGCCCUGGAGUGGGACAGCUGGGUGGCUCCUCGGAAGACUCCACAACCCCUUGGUACUCAAUGAUUAAGUGAUGAAAGAAAGUGCUUUUAAUUGUGUUCGUUGGUAUGAGGGGAAAAACCCAAAACCUUGGGUAAUCUACUGUCAGAAAACUGAGAAUCAUCAGUAUCAAGAAGGUUCUUCUCCUGAAAGGAGCCCCUUGACACAUUUGCAAAAUAAACGGUUUUCAUUGGUCAGACGAAAACAGUUUCCAAGGAUUGGGAACUUGUGGUCUCCGAUGGCAGCUUCCCCUGCUCCCUCUGCUUCCCUGUCUCCUUUCUGGCGUAAUUGCUCACCUGGCAAACCAGCACCAAGCUGGGACCCCAACCCUGCACACAGCCCAACUCCUCAGUGGCAAGGCCAGCAGCCUUGGACAUCUGGGCCUCUGUUCUCAUACAAAGCUUCAGCACCAUGUUUGAUUUCCCUGAGAAGGUUGGCAAUUGUGGCCAAUUCCCAAAGCACUGGUAUUCUUUCUGGUUCCUCUUGACCAACCGUGAGUAACCCCAUCACCCUCCCACCCCAGGACAUUCAGUUGGUGACCAUCUAUAGAGACAUCUGACACUGAGAUCAAUGAUAUCCACCAUAGCACUUAGCACGGGGCCAGGCACAGGGCAGGAGCUCCACAAAGCUCAGUGUGGCUGGUGGCAGCUGGGACAGGGAAGGGUGUGGGGAGACUUCUGUUGCUGGGAGAAGCUCUUUUCUUGAAGGGAGGCCUUUGCCCUUUCAGAGGGAGAACAAACAGAGAGGCAUUAAGUCUGCAAGCACAGCCCUCGCAAAGCCUGACCUGCAGGCCUCCUCCCGAGAGACACAUGAUUUACCUAGGCUGAAGUCAACAGAGGGACAUCUGAGCUCCAACUAUCCUUUCCCAUUUCACACCAGGGUGACAUUAAAUGGUUCCAUUUUCAGUGGAUGGGGGAAGGGAAGAGGGGAAAAUGGAGCUAAAGUUUCAUUUUUAAUGAACAUCAAUAAAAUAUUCUUCCCUAGGUACACUGUCCCCCUGCCCCAAACCUAUGCAAAAGAAAUAGUCUACUUCUUCCAGUGACUUUGGGCUUGUUUGCAUAUAUCUGGGGCUUUGGAUAUAACGUCAAGCGCUUCGUGAUGCCACAGUAAAUUCAGAAACACGUAAGAAGCUAUUGAUUUCGAUCCCCAACAACUCUUGGCUUGUAGACAUUUCACUGAUGAAUGUUACAGCAGCGGAUUUUUUAGUGGCCCUUCAUACAUGGUCAUGUCCCUCUGGGCUGGCCAG
This 2374-nucleotide long non-coding RNA is filed under the name Homo sapiens (human). RNAcentral describes it as "HSALNT0097466". The record is from RNAcentral. Lineage: Eukaryota; Metazoa; Chordata; Mammalia; Primates; Hominidae.